This 379-nucleotide ribosomal RNA is filed under the name uncultured prokaryote. RNAcentral describes it as "partial 16S ribosomal RNA". The record is from RNAcentral.
CCCUACGGGGUGCACCAGGCAACACCGGCAAUGACACCCUCAUUGGCGGUGAGGGCAGCGACACCUACCUAUUCAAUAUUGGCGACGGUCAGGACACAGUAACUGAGUACGAUGCAGGGGGCAACGAUACGGAUACCAUAAAGUUCGGCCCCGGCAUCACAAAGGACGACAUCCUCAUUACCAGAAGGGAUGCAAACCUUGCCUUUGAGAUCAAGAACACGACCGACAGCAUCACCAUAGAGGGCUGGUACAGCGGUGGGAAUUCUCCUAAAAUAGAGACCCUUCUCUUCGAUGACGCUACCACCAUGACACAAGCUGAGAUAGAGAGUAAGGCAACGUUCCGGGGGACAAACGGCAAUGAUUACCUUGGCGGGAGAGC